UACGGGGGGGGCAAGCGUUGUUCGGAAUUACUGGGCGUAAAGGGCUCGUAGGCGGCCAACUAAGUCAGACGUGAAACCCCUCGGCUUAACCGGGGAACUGCGUCUGAUACUGGAUGGCUUGAGGUUGGUAGAGGGAUGCGGAAUUCCAGGUGUAGCGGUGAAAUGCGUAGAUAUCUGGAGGAACACCGGUGGCGAAGGCGGCAUCCUGGACCAAUUCUGACGCUGAGGAGCGAAAGCCAGGGGAGCAAACGGG
This 253-nucleotide ribosomal RNA is filed under the name uncultured bacterium. RNAcentral describes it as "partial 16S ribosomal RNA". It matches the Rfam family "Bacterial small subunit ribosomal RNA", at positions 524 to 776 of the family's 1533-position model. The record is from RNAcentral.